RNAcentral lists this ribosomal RNA (324 nucleotides) under uncultured eukaryote. Its description in RNAcentral is "partial 18S ribosomal RNA". It matches the Rfam family "Eukaryotic small subunit ribosomal RNA", at positions 1470 to 1796 of the family's 1831-position model. The record is from RNAcentral.
CCCUUAGAUGUUCUGGGCCGCACGCGCGCUACACUGAUGCAUUCAACGAGUUUCUUCCUGGUCCGAGAGGAAUGGGUAACCUUUUGAAAGUGCAUCGUGAUAGGGAUAGACUAUUGCAAUUAUUGGUCUUCAACGAGGAAUUCCUAGUAGACGUAGUUCACCAGACUGCAUCGAUUACGUCCCUGCCCUUUGUACACACCGCCCGUCGCUCCUACCGAUUGAAUGCUCAGGUGAGCCAUUCGGACUUUCAUCAUGCUGGUUUCCAGUUUUGAUGAAGGAAAGUCUUGCGAACCUUAUCAUUUAGAGGAAGGAGAAGUCGUAACA